AUUGAACGCUGGCGGCAUGCUUUACACAUGCAAGUCGAACGGCAGCGCGGGCUUCGGCCUGGCGGCGAGUGGCGAACGGGUGAGUAAUGCAUCGGAACGUGCCCAGUAGUGGGGGAUAGCGCGGCGAAAGCCGGAUUAAUACCGCAUACGACCUGAGGGUGAAAGCGGGGGACCGAAAGGCCUCGCGCUAUUGGAGCGGCCGAUGUCGGAUUAGCUAGUUGGUGGGGUAAAGGCUUACCAAGGCGACGAUCCGUAGCUGGUCUGAGAGGACGACCAGCCACACUGGGACUGAGACACGGCCCAGACUCCUACGGGAGGCAGCAGUGGGGAAUUUUGGACAAUGGGGGCAAGCCUGAUCCAGCCAUGCCGCGUGCGGGAAGAAGGCCUUCGGGUUGUAAAGCGCUUUUGUUCGGGAAGAAAUGCUUUAAGCUAAUACCCCGGGGGGAUGACGGUACCGGAAGAAUAAGCACCGGCUAACUACGUG
This 484-nucleotide ribosomal RNA is filed under the name uncultured bacterium. Its description in RNAcentral is "partial 16S ribosomal RNA". It matches the Rfam family "Bacterial small subunit ribosomal RNA", at positions 29 to 507 of the family's 1533-position model. The record is from RNAcentral.